GCCACGGUAAAUCCCGUGGACGGGUUUGGCGACCCGAGAAUGAAAUUGGCGCACAAGCGCCCCCAAGACCAUUGCUGGCGCUUUUUUU
Molecule: small RNA, 88 nt
Filed under: Pseudomonas aeruginosa VRFPA01
Lineage: Bacteria; Pseudomonadati; Pseudomonadota; Gammaproteobacteria; Pseudomonadales; Pseudomonadaceae
Description: isrK
Rfam family: isrK Hfq binding RNA
Source: RNAcentral